RNAcentral lists this ribosomal RNA (497 nucleotides) under uncultured bacterium. RNAcentral's name for it is "partial 16S ribosomal RNA". It matches the Rfam family "Bacterial small subunit ribosomal RNA", at positions 28 to 507 of the family's 1533-position model. The record is from RNAcentral.
GAUGAACGCUGGCGGCGUGCCUAAUACAUGCAAGUCGAGCGAACGGACGGGAAGCUUGCUUCUCUGAUGUUAGCGGCGGACGGGUGAGUAACACGUGGAUAACCUACCUAUAAGACUGGGAUAACUUCGGGAAACCGGAGCUAAUACCGGAUAAUAUUUUGAACCGCAUGGUUCAAAAGUGAAAGACGGUCUUGCUGUCACUUAUAGAUGGAUCCGCGCUGCAUUAGCUAGUUGGUAAGGUAACGGCUUACCAAGGCAACGAUGCAUAGCCGACCUGAGAGGGUCACCAGCCUCAGUGGGACGGAGAAAGGGUCCAGACGCCUACGGGAGGCAGCAGUCUGGAAGCGCCCCGGAUGGGGGAAAGCGUAACGCUGCAAAUCCGCGUCAGUGAUGAAUGUAUACGAAUUGUAAAACUCUUUUAUUAGCUAAGCACAGAUGUGCAAUAAACCAUCCCCAUCUCUACGUUCCCGAAUCAGACAGCCAUGGCGAACUACGUG